Molecule: ribosomal RNA, 253 nt
Filed under: uncultured bacterium
Lineage: Bacteria
Description: partial 16S ribosomal RNA
Rfam family: Bacterial small subunit ribosomal RNA
Source: RNAcentral
UACGGGGGGGGCAAGCGUUGUUCGGAUUCACUGGGCGUAAAGGGCGCGUAGGUGGUGAGGUAAGUCGGAUGUGAAAUCUCCAAGCUCAACUUGGAAAUGGCAUUGGAAACUACCUUGCUGGAGGUUUGGAGGGGGGACUGGAAUUCUCGGUGUAGCAGUGAAAUGCGUAGAUAUCGAGAGGAACACCAGUGGCGAAGGCGAGUCCCUGGACAAAACCUGACACUGAGGCACGAAAGCUAGGGGAGCAAACAGG